Molecule: small RNA, 81 nt
Filed under: Rhodoferax antarcticus ANT.BR
Lineage: Bacteria; Pseudomonadati; Pseudomonadota; Betaproteobacteria; Burkholderiales; Comamonadaceae
Description: int-alpA RNA
Rfam family: int-alpA RNA
About the family: Acidobacteria (1 example), Planctomycetes (1 example), Proteobacteria. Environment (Lake Washington)
Source: Rfam by way of RNAcentral
CCAGCGUCUAGCCCGAGGCUGAUCCCCAAAGGCGAAAAGUCGGACACCUUCACCGACCCCGGCGCUGGCACCUUAUGAAGG